This 537-nucleotide non-coding RNA is filed under the name Cavia porcellus (domestic guinea pig). RNAcentral describes it as "Archaeal large subunit ribosomal RNA". The stretch from base 128 to 537 matches the Rfam family "Eukaryotic large subunit ribosomal RNA", at positions 1 to 404 of the family's 3401-position model. The record is from Rfam by way of RNAcentral. Lineage: Eukaryota; Metazoa; Chordata; Mammalia; Rodentia; Caviidae.
AACUCCUGGGUGAGAGGAUGACGAUGAAGAUGAUGUGGUGAUGGUGGUGACCUGUAGUCCCAUCUCUCAUUCAUUCGUCCAUCCAUCAGUCAGUGGAUCAUUCGGUCAUACCCCUCCCUCUGAGAUGCGACCUCAAAUCAGAUGUUGCAACCUGUUGAAUUUUAGCAUAUUAGCCAGAGGAGGAAAAGAAACUAACAAGGAUUCCCUCAGUAAUGGUGAGUGAACAGGGAACAGCCCAGCACAGAAUCCCCACCAUGCGGUGAGGCAAGGGAAAUGUGUAGAGAAGCCCCAUUCCCCAACUUGUGGGAGGCCCAAGUCCUUCUGAUCGAGGUCCAGCCUGUGGAUGGUGUGAGGCUGGUAGCAGUCCCUGGCGUGCUGGAUCUGGGUCUUUCCAGAGUUAGGUUGCUUGGGAAUGCAGUCCAAAGUGAGUGGUAAACUCCAUCUAAGGCUAGAUACCAUCAUGAGACCAAUAGUCAACAAGUACUAUAAGGGAAAGUUGAAAAGAACUUUGAAAAGAGAGUUCAAGAAGGCGUGAAA